UGCAACCCGACUCCACGAAGUUGGAUUCGCUAGUAAUCGCGCAUCAGCCAUGGCGCGGUGAAUACGUUCCCGGGCCUUGUACACACCGCCCGUCAAGCCAUGGGAGCCGGGGGCGCCUGAAGUCCGGGACCGCGAGGACCGGCCUAGGGCGAAACUGGUAACUGGGGCUAAGUCGUAACAAGGUAAC
RNAcentral lists this ribosomal RNA (187 nucleotides) under uncultured bacterium. RNAcentral describes it as "partial 16S ribosomal RNA". It matches the Rfam family "Bacterial small subunit ribosomal RNA", at positions 1306 to 1500 of the family's 1533-position model. The record is from RNAcentral.